RNAcentral lists this unclassified non-coding RNA (224 nucleotides) under Hevea brasiliensis (rubber tree). Lineage: Eukaryota; Viridiplantae; Streptophyta; Magnoliopsida; Malpighiales; Euphorbiaceae. The record is from RNAcentral.
CAGUGCGUUCGGGUUGGUCAUCGUCUCAAUGGUAACAACGGUCGAGAGCGGCACUUGCCGGCCGGUAUUCGUCGCAACGUAAUAAUUUCCAAUCGAUUCCGGCGUCAGGCGAAGGUCACGCGGCACCUGCGGAAUCACCUGAUACGAACGUCCUUCCAGAUUGAACCGGUUGACGUAGUUGCCGCCGAGCAGCGUCGAUAGCGUAUUGCCCAGCGCAGCCAUGU